RNAcentral lists this ribosomal RNA (460 nucleotides) under uncultured bacterium. Its description in RNAcentral is "partial 16S ribosomal RNA". It matches the Rfam family "Bacterial small subunit ribosomal RNA", at positions 338 to 795 of the family's 1533-position model. The record is from RNAcentral.
CCUACGGGAGGCAGCAGUGAGGAAUAUUGGUCAAUGGGCGCGAGCCUGAACCAGCCAAGUAGCGUGAAGGAUGACUGCCCUACGGGUUGUAAACUUCUUUUAUAAAGGAAUAAAGUGAGUCACGUGUGCCUUUUUGUAUGUACUUUAUGAAUAAGGAUCGGCUAACUCCGUGCCAGCCGCCGCGGUAAUACGGAGGAUCCGAGCGUUCUCCGGAGUUAUUGGGUUUAAAGGGAGCGUAGAUGGGUGGUUAAGUCAGUUGUGAACGUUUGCGGCUCAACCGUAAAAUUGCAAUUGAUACUGGCAGCCGUGAGUACAGUAGAGGUAGGCGGAAUUCGAGGUGUAGCGGUGAAAUGCUUAGAUAUCACGAAGAACUCCGAUUGCGAAGGCAGCUUACUAAACUACAACUGACAUUGAUGCGCGAAAGUGUGGGUAUCAAACAGGAUUAGAUACCCCUGUAGUC